RNAcentral lists this ribosomal RNA (497 nucleotides) under uncultured bacterium. RNAcentral's name for it is "partial 16S ribosomal RNA". It matches the Rfam family "Bacterial small subunit ribosomal RNA", at positions 28 to 507 of the family's 1533-position model. The record is from RNAcentral.
GAUGAACGCUGGCGGCGUGCCUAAUACAUGCAAGUCGAGCGAACAGACGAGGAGCUUGCUCCUCUGACGUUAGCGGCGGACGGGUGAGUAACACGUGGAUAACCUACCUAUAAGACUGGGAUAACUUCGGGAAACCGGGGCUAAUACCGGAUAAUAUAUUGAACCGCAUGGUUCAAUAGUGAAGGACGGUUUUGCUGUCACUUAUAGAUGGAUCCGCGCCGCAUUAGCUAGUUGGUAAGGUAACGGCUUACCAAGGCAACGAUGCGUAGCCGACCUGAGAGGGUGAUCGGCCACACUGGAACUGAGACACGGUCCAGACUCCUACGGGAGGCAGCAGUAGGGAAUCUUCCGCAAUGGGCGAAAGCCUGACGGAGCAACGCCGCGUGAGUGAUGAAGGUCUUCGGAUCGUAAAACUCUGUUAUUAGGGAAGAACAAAUGUGUAAGUAACUAUGCACGUCUUGACGGUACCUAAUCAGAAAGCCACGGCUAACUACGUG